AGAAAGGCACAGUGUGGAACUCGUUUCCGCGCGCGUUAAGUGGAUGUUCUCUUUGCUUAAUGAGCAAUAAUCAACACUGACUCCUCUUCUUGUUCCUGAGCUGCAUGCUGCGUUUUAAAUGUGCAGAGUUUGUGAGGGGGGACAGUGCAGCAGAGCAGCUGCCUCCAACAGGCCAACGUGAUCUUUUCGGAGAAGAGGAAAGAAUGGAUGGAUCAAACAAAAACUAUGAGACAUUACGGAUGUGCUGGGAUUUUCAAGAACCAAAAAAAACUUGAGGUCCUUCAUGCAGGCCCGAGUUACAGGGCAAUUAUGGAAAUGCAGCUUUGAAGCCAAGUAUAGCCUUCAUUCAGUUCCUCCUUGGGACAAAGGAAAAGCAACACAAGCUUUUAAUGCCCCCCACCCCCAAAUAAAACAUGUUUCAACAUC
Long non-coding RNA from Austrofundulus limnaeus, 426 nucleotides. RefSeq lists it as uncharacterized. Lineage: Eukaryota; Metazoa; Chordata; Actinopteri; Cyprinodontiformes; Rivulidae. The record is from RefSeq and is a predicted model, not a curated record. The transcript has 2 exons.